CUUUCCCCCUAGUCUUUGGCUGACAUUCUAAACUUAGCUGUUAGACAAGAACAAUCUUGAAUUGCUCAAAAUACACAUGCAACACACUCACACUCACACUCCCACACACACACGCACACACACACACAUACAUACAUAUUUAUACACACACAAACUCACACUCACACACACAUUUUAAUGACUAAGACAGACUGUGGACCCUGGAAACAAAAGAGGGAAGGAAUUGAAAGAGGACGGUAAAAAGGAAAGAAUGAUGAAGAGUGAUGAAGUGUGUAGAGUCAUCUUGUGGGACUGAUCUCAGGCAAGAGGUUGUGAGAGCUGCUAAGAUGAACCAAGCUGUGUAAGAUGAGGACAAUGUUCUGUCUGGAGUCAGCCGAAUCAAUCCUCAUCACCAUUCAGCCCACCGAACCGGAUUGGUCUUCCUGGGAGUCCGACCCAGGCUCCGAGGCAGCCUCUGCCCUCCCCGACUCAGGAGAGACGUCUCCCCCCCUUUGGCAGAGAGCUUCAAACGGAGCAGCUGGGAGAGGUCUGUGGGGAGUCAGGAGGAUUGAGGGCUAUUUCUGAUCAACACAGCAUUACAUACACUGCUGGGCAAGGGAAGAGACCAAAAUACUCGGUGUGAUGCGGGAAAGCAUUUGAUUCUGUUUGGAUUAAAGAGGUACAUUCUCCACAA
Long non-coding RNA from Clupea harengus (Atlantic herring), 673 nucleotides. RefSeq lists it as uncharacterized. Lineage: Eukaryota; Metazoa; Chordata; Actinopteri; Clupeiformes; Clupeidae. The record is from RefSeq and is a predicted model, not a curated record.